This 599-nucleotide ribosomal RNA is filed under the name uncultured bacterium. RNAcentral describes it as "bacterial SSU rRNA". It matches the Rfam family "Bacterial small subunit ribosomal RNA", at positions 173 to 755 of the family's 1533-position model. The record is from RNAcentral.
AUGCAGCGGCACCUAAUGGUGACAGUUGUUAAAGCGGGGGAUCGCAAGACCUCGCGUCUGAAGAGGAGCCUGCGGCGGAUUAGCUAGUUGGUAAGGUAAUGGCUUACCAAGGCGAUGAUCCGUAGCCGGCCUGAGAGGGCGGUCGGCCACACUGACACUGACAUACGGGUCAGACUCCUACGGGAGGCAGCAGUCGGGAAUUUUGGGCAAUGGGCGAAAGCCUGACCCAGCAACGCCGCGUGAAGGAUGAAAUCCCUCGGGAUGUAAACUUCGCAAGAACGGGAAGAAUAAGCCGGUGUUAACACCUCUUUCGAUGACGGUACUGUUUGUAAGCUCCGGCUAACUCCGUGCCAGCAGCCGCGGUAAUACGGGGGGAGCAAGCGUUGUUCGGAUUUACUGGGCGUAAAGGGCGCGUAGGCGGCCUCUGCAAGUCGACUGUGAAAUCUCCGGGCUUAACCCGGAACGGUCAGCCGAUACUGCAGGGCUAGAGUGCAGAAGGGGCAACUGGAAUUCUCGGUGUAGCGGUGAAAUGCGUAGAUAUCGAGAGGAACACCUGCGGCGAAAGCGGGUUGCUGGGCUGACACUGACGCUGAGGCGCG